Long non-coding RNA from Oncorhynchus nerka (sockeye salmon), 1579 nucleotides. RefSeq lists it as uncharacterized. The transcript has 2 exons. Lineage: Eukaryota; Metazoa; Chordata; Actinopteri; Salmoniformes; Salmonidae. The record is from RefSeq and is a predicted model, not a curated record.
UUGAAUAAGUCAUGAUUUUAACCGUUUGGAUCAAGGGUAUGUCUAUUCCUCAUCAAAAUGGCACUAGAGUGACAAGGGUAGUCAUGUUGUUUUCCAAGAUGCCUCUUAUUUUCUCUCCCACUUCUUUAACACACCAUGACUGCAGCAUGUCCCAUCCUGGGCGCUCUCGUCCUAGUUUUGCCCGUCUCAUUUCCUGUCGCUCUGUCAUUUUCUGCAGUGAGAACCCCCUGCCAAAGGUGGAGAUUGCCAUCCGCAACACAGGUGACGCAUGGUGCCCUCUGCUGGAGACCCUGACAGAUGCAGAGAUGGAGAAGAAGAUCAGGGACCAGGACAGGAACACCAGGCGCAUGAGACGACUUGCCAACACUGCCCCCGCCUGGUAGAGAGAAGCACCAAUAAGCUACUACAGAGCCUCUAGUCCAGUGGUUCCCAACCUCUUUUUGAACCGUGGCACACCUUGAUGGGAUAUACAAUUAUGCCCUGCACACCAAAUUCAUUCAUUUAGUGGUGAUGACAUCCAUCUGAUCUAUAUUGCAUAUCAUCUAUUUUCUGUGACAAAUGUUUACUAAAUAGGGUUUGUUUGAAGUAUUUUCAUAGUUCCUUACUCAUGAAGGUUCAUUUCUGUAUACCCCUUUAAGAGUAUCCCGCAAAUAGGUAUUUAGUUUUGAACAGUCUGUGUUAGAGGUACAACCACGUACACAUAGCCAAGCUCCAUUUGUUUUUAUGGCAAGAGGCUGUGGUAUAGCUAAUAAAUUACUCUCGCUAAGCCUAAUCAAACUUACAAGUGAUAAUGGUUAUCACAGACUAAGUAAAAUAAUAAAAAUGACUUUGCUCGUGAUGCGAGCCCCUCAAAUGAUACAAAUGGAACAGCCUGAGUGCACUGGACUUGGAACAACGAUACAGAUGUAACAAUGUACCAUUUAAUCUAUUAUCUGACUGGCACAGGUGCUCCCAAAUCAAAAUUACAGAGUGUACAAACAUUUUUAUCAAGAUUAGGAAAGGUUUUGUGGCACACCACUGCUUCUAGUCAGCUAACAGUCAACUCCUAUGGGCCCUCUGUGGAGACACACACACAAACAAACGUGACAAAAGACAGUCAACUGGUCCCUUCUUACAGCCCCCGUAAUAUUAAACUAGCUUUAUGCUUGAUUGUCAUACUAAUCCAGUACCAAUGCCACAUCUCUACUCCCAUUAAUAAAAAUAAUUACAUCUGAUCCCAGAUCAGAGACUGUUCAAGGAGCCUUCUCCAUUUCUAGCCCCUCUAUUGGUUCAACCGCUACUCAUUUCUGAUGAGAUGAGGCGACGUGGUAUAUAAAAGGUGCCAUGGGUAGAGUGUAUUUGUCCGUAUGAAAUGUAGCCAUUGUCGAUUGUACGGACUCACCAUCUAAGUGAGCUCUACCUGUAAUACUGCUUUGAUGCACUUAUAUCUCUCAUGAUAGACAAUGCUGACGGACUUGAUCUGUCUGUUAAUAGAAACACUCAGACUCAACUCUUGGGAAUAAUGUAAAGUUCUGUAUUUAUGCUGAUACUUUUAGUAUAUUUUUUAGUUUCCUUUUUUAAUAAAAUAACAUAAACCAGA